CUCCUCCAACACAUGACAUCACCUCUUCUCCCUCUCCUCACCAAUUACCUCCUUCACCACAUGACAUAAUCUCUCCUACUUCCCCUCCUGUACCAACCAGAAAAUCUAAUAGACUCACAAAACCACCAGCUUAUCUCUCUGAAUAUCACUGCAAUUUGCUAUCCUCAAUGCUGCCAGCAUAUAAUCCAGGUAACUCUCCUUACCCUCUUUC
Molecule: long non-coding RNA, 211 nt
Filed under: Lathyrus oleraceus (garden pea)
Lineage: Eukaryota; Viridiplantae; Streptophyta; Magnoliopsida; Fabales; Fabaceae
Description: Pisum sativum (pea) long non-coding RNA (PSAT_LNC004821)
Source: RNAcentral